RNAcentral lists this ribosomal RNA (322 nucleotides) under uncultured eukaryote. Its description in RNAcentral is "partial 18S ribosomal RNA". It matches the Rfam family "Eukaryotic small subunit ribosomal RNA", at positions 1470 to 1796 of the family's 1831-position model. The record is from RNAcentral.
CCCUUAGAUGUUCUGGGCCGCACGCGUGCUACACUGAGUAAUUCAAUGGGUAAGGGAACGCUAGAGCAUUACCUAAUCUUGAAAUUUGCUCGUGAUGGGGAUCGACGGUUGCAAUUUUCCGUCGUGAACGAGGAGUACCUUGUAGGCGCAUGUCAUCAUCAUGCGCCGAAUACGUCCCUGCCCUUUGUACACACCGCCCGUCGCUCCUACCGAUUGAGUGAUCCGGUGAGGCUCUGGGACCUGGACGGAAAGAGCGUUUCGCUUGUUCUGUUUGGGAAACUUGGUCGAACCUUAUCAUUUAGAGGAAGGAGAAGUCGUAACA